GACGAACGCUGGCGGCGUGCUUAACACAUGCAAGUCGAACGGAAAGGCCCUGCUUUUGUGGGGUGCUCGAGUGGCGAACGGGUGAGUAACACGUGAGUAACCUGCCCUUGACUUUGGGAUAACUUCAGGAAACUGGGGCUAAUACCGGAUAGGAGCUCCUGCUGCAUGGUGGGGGUUGGAUAGUUUCGGCGGUUGGGGAUGUACUCGCGGCUUAUCAGCUUGUUGGUUGGGUAGUGGAUUACCAAGGCUUUGACGGGUAGCCGGCCUGAGAGGGUGACCGGCCACAUUGGGACUGAGAUACGGCCCAGACUCCUACGGGAGGCAGCAGUGGGGAAUAGUGCACAAUGGGCGGAAGCCUGAUGCAGCAACGCCGCGUGCGGGAUGACGGCCUUCGGGUUGUAAACCGCUUUCGCCUGUGACGAAGCGUGAGUGACGGUAAUGGGUAAAGAAGCACCGGCUAACUACGUG
RNAcentral lists this ribosomal RNA (468 nucleotides) under uncultured bacterium. RNAcentral's name for it is "partial 16S ribosomal RNA". It matches the Rfam family "Bacterial small subunit ribosomal RNA", at positions 28 to 507 of the family's 1533-position model. The record is from RNAcentral.